UCAAAUCAGGCAGGACUACCCGCUGAACUUAAGCAUAUCA
Molecule: ribosomal RNA, 40 nt
Filed under: Astraeus sp. PK-1
Lineage: Eukaryota; Fungi; Basidiomycota; Agaricomycetes; Boletales; Astraeaceae
Description: partial 28S ribosomal RNA
Source: RNAcentral